Molecule: long non-coding RNA, 199 nt
Organism: Acanthopagrus latus (yellowfin seabream)
Lineage: Eukaryota; Metazoa; Chordata; Actinopteri; Spariformes; Sparidae
Exons: 3
Source: RefSeq, a predicted model, not a curated record
GUUGAUUACGAGUUAGUUACAUAUUGCCGUUUCCUGAACUUUACCACCCAGGAAUUCAAAUGAAGAAUAAAUUCUCAGGGAAGGAAAUUGAUAGGAGUGAGCUGAUAUUUAGAAGCCGUCGUGUUUGUCAUUAGAUGAAGGCAUAUCUGCCACGCAGACCCGGCGUCUGUGUGAAGUCCCGAGCUGAAUUCACCUCCAC